This 1429-nucleotide long non-coding RNA is filed under the name Nicotiana tabacum (common tobacco). RNAcentral describes it as "long non-coding RNA (NTAB_LNC005164)". The record is from RNAcentral. Lineage: Eukaryota; Viridiplantae; Streptophyta; Magnoliopsida; Solanales; Solanaceae.
UACUUCUUAAACCGCCCUCUACCUCUUCUUGUGCCCUCCACAACCAGCCGCUCACACCUCCGUAUCGGAGCAUCUGAGCUUCUCCUUUGAACAUGUCCGAACCAUUUAGAAUGAUAUUUCGAAAAACGUCACAAGUUGAAUUGUGUCAGCUUAGGAGUCUCAAAACAAACACGAUAUUUUAACCAAUUGAUCUUCAAUAUAUAGCCAAAAAAUUGUCUAUUCGUGACUUUUGCAUACUCUCUUCUUUAUUAUUCGCGUUUAGAAUGGGCAAACAAUUGAAGUCUUUAACCAGUAGGACUCAUAAAUGUCUAGGUCACCUUAACUUUUAUCUUAAACUUUGACUUGAAUUCUUUAGAUAAAAGAAUAAUAAAUCUAUAAUGUAAGUAUGUCCACAGCUCCAUAAAAGGACUGUCACAUAGACAGAAGCUAAGCAAUUUGACAUAAUCUUGAAUAUAUUUUUAUCUCCUUCAAUAGAAAUUAAAGAAUAAGAGGAAAAAAAAAAGCUACAUAGAGAACCUUUCAGAAAAAAAUACUUUUUGAGUAAAAGAUUAAAGCAUACCACAGGGCAUGCAGCAUCAUCUUGUUAUGUUCAUGGGCUAUCUAUAUACAAUUUCCGAUAUCGUAGUCAAACUCAACCGAUUAUUUCACAGUUUUUAUCAGAACUAUUACUCACUUUAUUAGGCCAAUUACUCAUAUGAUCUACAAGGCUACAAUUACUUUGUCGAACUUUUCUUUUCUAUCAUUCUCUAGCAUAAUUGUCAGAAAAAGCUAUGUAGGUGUAAUACUUGAGCAGAGUUUGAUAUAAUAUGGAUUGUAAAACGCACACGAAUGCGUUCGAGUGUAUUCUAUUUAUCCAUCUAAAUCACACAUUUGCUGAUUCAAUGACCAAGAAAAACACUUUUGUUUGAAUACUGUUUCAUGUACAAUCACUUUUUCUUGUGAUGUAAUACUUGAUAGAGUAGAUUACCGUGUCAGAAUUAAUAUGAACAUAAUGGUAUCAAAUUUAACACUUUAGAUGCACAAAUAUAAAAUUUAGAUUAAAAUAUUGAGUAAUAUGACUUACCAAUUCGAGACACAGGCAAAACUGCAAGAACUCUUGGACCAUUGAAAUUUGAUUACAAACGACCACCAGCUUCUUCUAUCCGAUUGAGUUCAUUAGACCGAUCAGACUAAAAAAAAAGUUGGGAAAUCAACAUUAAUUAAGAAUACAUAAAGGAAUAAGAAGAAAGCAAAACCAAACCAUGUUAGGAGAAUGACGUAAAUAAGGAGCACUAAAAGAAAUAAAGAAGAGAAGUUUUUGACAUGCUUACAGCCAAUUACGAUUGUAGAUAUAUGAUUACUACAGCAAAUUAAAUAUGAAAUCUAUGGCAUAUAUAAAAUUAGCCGUCGGUUUGGAACUUAAUCGGUAAGAGGUCCAUGCGGCUUUCUG